GCUCCGGUGGUGUAGUCUGGACAAACAUAACGGCCUUUCGAGCCGUUGAUCCCGGGUUCAAAUCCCGGCCGGAGCA
RNAcentral lists this transfer RNA (76 nucleotides) under Candidatus Bathyarchaeota archaeon. Its description in RNAcentral is "tRNA-Glu". It matches the Rfam family "tRNA". Rfam says of the family: Transfer RNA (tRNA) molecules are approximately 80 nucleotides in length. Their secondary structure includes four short double-helical elements and three loops (D, anti-codon, and T loops). Lineage: Archaea; Thermoproteati; Candidatus Bathyarchaeota. The record is from RNAcentral. RNAcentral also lists the same sequence under 1 other name.